GACGAACCGAGCGAACGUUAUUCGGAAUCACUGGGCUUAAAGGGCGCGUAGGCGGGCCGUAACGUCAGGGGUGAAAUCCUCCAGCUCAACUGGAGAAGUGCCUUUGAUACUUGCGGCCUCGAGGGAGGUAGGGGCGUGCGGAACUUCCGGUGGAGCGGUGAAAUGCGUAGAUAUCGGAAGGAACACCGGUGGCGAAAGCGGCGCGCUGGACCUCUUCUGACGCUGAGGCGCGAAAGCCAGGGGAGCAAACGGG
This 253-nucleotide ribosomal RNA is filed under the name uncultured bacterium. Its description in RNAcentral is "partial 16S ribosomal RNA". It matches the Rfam family "Bacterial small subunit ribosomal RNA", at positions 524 to 776 of the family's 1533-position model. The record is from RNAcentral.